This 256-nucleotide ribosomal RNA is filed under the name uncultured bacterium. RNAcentral describes it as "partial 16S ribosomal RNA". It matches the Rfam family "Bacterial small subunit ribosomal RNA", at positions 96 to 353 of the family's 1533-position model. The record is from RNAcentral.
UGGCGGACGGGUGAGUAAUGUCUGGGAAACUGCCUGAUGGAGGGGGAUAACUACUGGAAACGGUAGCUAAUACCGCAUAACGUCGCAAGACCAAAGAGGGGGACCUUCGGGCCUCUUGCCAUCGGAUGUGCCCAGAUGGGAUUAGCUAGUAGGUGGGGUAACGGCUCACCUAGGCGACGAUCCCUAGCUGGUCUGAGAGGAUGACUAGCCACACUGGAACUGAGACACGGUCCAGACUCCUACGGGAGGCAGCAUG